This 3069-nucleotide unclassified non-coding RNA is filed under the name Hevea brasiliensis (rubber tree). Lineage: Eukaryota; Viridiplantae; Streptophyta; Magnoliopsida; Malpighiales; Euphorbiaceae. The record is from RNAcentral.
CAGGAGUGGAGAGAAGAAAGGUGAGAGGAGAAAGGGUACUGUUUCACCGGGGAUUGAAGAUGUCGACGGAGUAUAAAGAUUGGAAUGAAAUUCACGAUUGUGUGCUCAAAUUGAGAGUGAAUCCUCGAAGACGAAGGGAGAAGGUUUACAUAGGCUGUGGGGCUGGGUUUGGAGGUGACAGGCCAUUGGCAGCACUUAGGUUGCUUCAAAGAGUUAAGGAGCUUAACUAUCUUGUGCUUGAAUGCUUGGCUGAGCGCACCCUUGCUGAUCGUUAUCAGGUUAUGGUGUCUGGUGGUGAUGGCUAUGAUUCUCGCAUCUCAGAUUGGAUGCGUUUGCUCCUCCCUUUGGCUGUAGAAAGAGGAACUUGCAUAAUAACAAACAUGGGUGCAAUGGAUGUGCUUCAUGCUCAAGAGAGUGUUCUAGAACUUGCCAGCAAUCUGGGGCUAAGUGUUUCUGUUGCUGUGGCUCAUGAGAUUUCUUCCAAUAAAUCAGGUAUAGGAUCUCCACCUAUGAAAUCAAAUGUUACAGAAGGUGUAAGAAUCUGGUUCUCUUUCUUGUGCUUCCUGUUUGUAUUCAGCUUUCAUAACUGUAAUUGCUUUUACUUUUUUUUUUUGGGUUGGCAUGACAUUUUACUGUCACUAACAUUGUUGAUGAUUAUCUAUAGCAACCUUUGCAAUACAUAUGAAUGCAAUUCCUGCCUCUCAACCUCUCAUAAAAAUUUGUCAAGAAUUUAAACUUGCAAUAUGAUAAAAUUUCAUUUUGUUACUCUAGCAAACAUCCAGAACAUGCUAUUUUUACUCUUCUUUCUUACUUUUAGUUGUAAGGUUAACCCAAUUUUUUGUUCUAAUAUCUGAAGGGUGUUAGCACGUAUCUGGGAGCAGCACCUAUUGUUGAAUGUCUGGAAAAGUAUCAACCUAAUGUUAUAAUUACUUCGCGAAUUGCUGAUGCUGCCUUGUUCUUAGCACCAAUGGUUUUUGAAUUGGGUUGGAAUUGGGAUGACUUAAAGGAGCUAGCUCAGGGAUCCUUAGCUGGGCACCUCCUAGAGUGUGGUUGUCAACUCACAGGUGGAUACUUCAUGCAUCCAGGCGACAAAUAUCGAGACAUGUCUUUCUUGUCUCUACUGGAUUUGUCACUUCCUUAUGCAGAAAUAAGUUUUGAUGGGCAAGUUUGUGUAGCAAAGGCAGGGGGCAGUGGUGGGGUAUUAAAUUUCAGUACUUGUGCUCAACAACUUCUUUAUGAGGUUGGAGAUCCAGGCGCUUAUAUCACACCUGAUGUGAUAAUUGAUUUUCAGGAUGUUUCAUUUUAUCCAUCCUCAAGUUCUUGCAUUCUCUGUGCUGGAGCAAAACCAUCUUUAGGAUCCAGGCCUGAUAAACUCUUGUGUUUGGUUCCAAAGGAUUGUGGUUGGAAAGGAUGGGGAGAGAUAUCCUAUGGAGGGCAUGAAUGUGUGACUCGUGCUAAAGCUGCUGAAUAUCUAGUAAGGUCAGAUCAUGGAUGGAAGAAGUAUGUCCAGGUGUUAGCUGUAAUGUAGUUUCAUGUAUUAUUGGACUUGAUAGCCUGAAGGCCUCUAGGAUUAACGAUAACACUUCAUCAUGGACCACUAAUGGAGACAUAAGGCUACACAUGGAUGGAUUAUUUGAGUUGAAAGAGCAUGCAGUCCUAUUUACAAGAGAGUUUACAGCAUUGUAUACUAAUGGACCAGCUGGUGGUGGUGGUAUCAGGUCAAUUUCUCAUCUGCUUCUUGUUUCAUUCUGCUUCAUUUUCCAUAAUUCGAACAUGAUUAUUCUCUUUGUUUAAUGAUGCAGCACUGGAUAUAAGAAAGAGAUAGUUCUCGAAAAAAAGUUGGUAGUCUCCCAAUCUCUCUCUCUCUUCCCAUUUUUGUGAAUUUUAUCUGUAACUAAGUAGAGUGCAUUGCAUCAAAUCAUCAACACUGUUGUGCUUUCUGAAAUACAAAGUUUGUCCAUAAGUAAAGCCGUAACUACAAAUUUAGCAUCCUAACUAUUUUCUGUUCUCAUUCCCUUUUGCACCCUGGAAAUAACUUGUCCUGCCUCAAAUUUGUGGAAGUCUUUCUUUAAUCAGAUGUGCUUUGUGAAGUUGUUGAGUAGUUGGUAAAAAAUUUUCAUUACACUUCUAGCAUUACUAAAGUUAUUGCAAUAGGAAAAAUUCUGACAGAAGAUUACUCCUUGGUUUUUAGGUUGGGCGUGAGUGUGUUUUCUGGCGGACUGGGGUGAAGUCCACCAAAGGAAUGAGUUCAGAGAAGGAAGAAAUUGGCCAUGGGAAUGUGGUGAAAAUGCAUGUUCUGCAUGAUGCUCUGUUACCACUAUUUCCAAAAGAUAAUGUGGAUUCGUCUUGUGUAGAAUAUUCUUUGCCUGUAAUUAAGACCUCCCCUGCUCCAUCAGGUCACGAGAUCCCACUUUAUACUGUAGCUCAUAGCAGGGCCGGCGACAAGGGAAAUGACUUGAAUUUUUCAAUCAUCCCACACUUCCCUCCGGACAUCGAGAGAUUGAAGAUGGUUGUGACACCCCAGUGGGUAAAGGGAGUUGUCGCAGCUCUUCUAAAUACUUCUUCAUUUCUGGACUCAGAAGCUAUCAUGAAGAGAGACAAAUGGGUCAAUGAAUAUGUAGAUGUGGAAAUAUAUGAAGUCAGGGGAAUCCAUUCUUUGAAUGUUGUGGUACGAAACAUUCUAGAUGGUGGUGUCAAUUGCUCUCGGAGGAUUGACCGGCAUGGAAAGACCAUCUCAGAUGUUAUACUAUGUCAGCACGUUGUGUUGCCUCCAUGACGAGUGAGUUUUCACCCGCAUCAUCUUUGCUUUCCCUCAAGGAGCAAGUUGCCGAUAGCAAAUUUGCAAUGCUCCUGUUUACCUUUGUUAUUCUUUUGGCAUGUUUUCUCAACUUUUUCAUGGAAGAAACUUUUUCAUGGAAGAAAUGUAUUUAUUUAAAAAAGAAAAAAAAAGAAUUGUACUUUUUAGACUAAUCUAUGCGAACUGCUAUUAAAAAGCAGAUUAAUUAGUGUUUGGAUCUUUUUCUUUGGGCAAAGUUGACAUUCCAAUAGCGGCUAAAUUUCAAGUGUGGC